This 131-nucleotide small nucleolar RNA is filed under the name Castor canadensis (American beaver). RNAcentral's name for it is "Small nucleolar RNA SNORA51 (ENSCCNG00000003421.1)". It matches the Rfam family "Small nucleolar RNA SNORA51". Rfam says of the family: ACA51 is a member of the H/ACA class of snoRNA that guide the sites of modification of uridines to pseudouridines. The record is from Rfam by way of RNAcentral. Lineage: Eukaryota; Metazoa; Chordata; Mammalia; Rodentia; Castoridae.
GGUCUCCUGCUGCUUUAUCACAGGCUGUGUUCUUUCACUGACUGUAUGAAAAGAGGAGGCAGAGUAAACCUACCCCAUAUAUACCUCAGCCCAGGCCUUGUGCCGUCUGUAUUAUGACUGGGGAAACAUGA